CGUCCGGCCGACCGGCGCACGGUGAGUAACACGUAUGCAACCUCGCCCUCUUCUAGGGGGACAACCUUCCGAAAGGGAGGCUAAUCCCGCGUAUAUCGGUUUCGGGCAUCCGAGAUCGAGGAAAGAUUCAUCGGAAGAGGAUGGGCAUGCGGCGCAUUAGCUAGACGGCGGGGUAACGGCCCACCGUGGCGACGAUGCGUAGGGGUUCUGAGAGGAAGGUCCCCCACACUGGUACUGAGACACGGACCAGACUCCUACGGAAGGCAGCAG
Molecule: ribosomal RNA, 270 nt
Filed under: uncultured bacterium
Lineage: Bacteria
Description: partial 16S ribosomal RNA
Rfam family: Bacterial small subunit ribosomal RNA
Source: RNAcentral